This 237-nucleotide signal recognition particle RNA is filed under the name Chlorocebus sabaeus (green monkey). RNAcentral describes it as "Metazoan signal recognition particle RNA". It matches the Rfam family "Metazoan signal recognition particle RNA". Rfam says of the family: The signal recognition particle (SRP) is a universally conserved ribonucleoprotein. It is involved in the co-translational targeting of proteins to membranes. The eukaryotic SRP consists of a 300-nucleotide 7S RNA and six proteins: SRPs 72, 68, 54, 19, 14, and 9. The record is from Rfam by way of RNAcentral. Lineage: Eukaryota; Metazoa; Chordata; Mammalia; Primates; Cercopithecidae.
GCCAGGCACAGUGGCAUGUACCUGUAGUCCCAGCUACUUGGGAGGCUGAGGCAGGAGAAUUGCUUGAACCCAGGAGGUGAAGUUGCAGUGAGCCAAGAUCAUGCCACUGCACUCCAGCCUGGGUGACAGAGCGAGANNNNNNNNNNUCUCGCUCUGUCACCCAGGCUGGAGUGCAGUGGCAUGAUCUUGGCUCACUGCAACUUCACCUCCUGGGUUCAAGCAAUUCUCCUGCCUCAG